Long non-coding RNA from Oreochromis aureus, 226 nucleotides. RefSeq lists it as uncharacterized. Lineage: Eukaryota; Metazoa; Chordata; Actinopteri; Cichliformes; Cichlidae. The record is from RefSeq and is a predicted model, not a curated record. The transcript has 3 exons.
UCGAGUUGUGUUCAUCGAUAACCAAAACAGCGGCUUCCUGCUCUCCCCUGCAAACGCAACAGAGUCCUGCUUUGAGCUCCCCAACUUUUCACCCACCAUCACAGGAGUGCUCUGGGACAACUGGCAUGCAGGCAGAGGGGUGUUUGUAGCCUAUGAUGAUGACCAAGUCUACACCUAUGCCCUGCAUGAAACCACCAUCUAUGGCCCACAGGUGGUGUUAGUAGGG